UCAAGUGAAGAAGCGCAUACGGUGGAUGCCUUGGCAGUCAGAGGCGAUGAAAGACGUGGUAGCCUGCGAAAAGCUUCGGGGAGUCGGCAAACAGACUUUGAUCCGGAGAUCUCUGAAUGGGGGAACCCACCUAGGAUAACCUAGGUAUCUUGUACUGAAUCCAUAGGUGCAAGAGGCGAACCAGGGGAACUGAAACAUCUAAGUACCCUGAGGAAAAGAAAUCAACCGAGAUUCCCUUAGUAGUGGCGAGCGAACGGGGAUUAGCCCUUAAGCUUCAUUGAUUUUAGCGGAACGCUCUGGAAAGUGCGGCCAUAGUGGGUGAUAGCCCCGUACGCGAAAGGAUCUUUGAAGUGAAAUCGAGUAGGACGGAGCACGAGAAACUUUGUCUGAACAUGGGGGGACCAUCCUCCAAGGCUAAAUACUACUGACUGACCGAUAGUGAACCAGUACCGUGAGGGAAAGGCGAAAAGAACCCCGGAGAGGGGAGUGAAAUAGAACCUGAAACCGUAUGCGUACAAGCAGUGGGAGCCUACUUGUUAGGUGACUGCGUACCUUUUGUAUAAUGGGUCAGCGACUUAUAUUCAGUGGCAAGCUUAACCGUAUAGGGUAGGCGUAGCGAAAGCGAGUCUUAAUAGGGCGUUUAGUCGCUGGGUAUAGACCCGAAACCGGGCGAUCUAUCCAUGAGCAGGUUGAAGGUUAGGUAACACUGACUGGAGGACCGAACCCACUCCCGUUGAAAAGGUAGGGGAUGACUUGUGGAUCGGAGUGAAAGGCUAAUCAAGCUCGGAGAUAGCUGGUUCUCCUCGAAAGCUAUUUAGGUAGCGCCUCAUGUAUCACUCUGGGGGGUAGAGCACUGUUUCGGCUAGGGGGUCAUCCCGACUUACCAAACCGAUGCAAACUCCGAAUACCCAGAAGUGCCGAGCAUGGGAGACACACGGCGGGUGCUAACGUCCGUCGUGAAAAGGGAAACAACCCAGACCGCCAGCUAAGGUCCCAAAGUUGUGGUUAAGUGGUAAACGAUGUGGGAAGGCUUAGACAGCUAGGAGGUUGGCUUAGAAGCAGCCAUCCUUUAAAGAAAGCGUAAUAGCUCACUAGUCGAGUCGGCCUGCGCGGAAGAUGUAACGGGGCUCAAACCACACACCGAAGCUGCGGGUGUCACGUAAGUGACGCGGUAGAGGAGCGUUCUGUAAGCCUGUGAAGGUGAGUUGAGAAGCUUGCUGGAGGUAUCAGAAGUGCGAAUGCUGACAUGAGUAACGACAAUGGGUGUGAAAAACACCCACGCCGAAAGACCAAGGGUUCCUGCGCAACGUUAAUCGACGCAGGGUUAGUCGGUUCCUAAGGCGAGGCUGAAAAGCGUAGUCGAUGGGAAACAGGUUAAUAUUCCUGUACUUCUGGUUACUGCGAUGGAGGGACGGAGAAGGCUAGGCCAGCUUGGCGUUGGUUGUCCAAGUUUAAGGUGGUAGGCUGAAAUCUUAGGUAAAUCCGGGGUUUCAAGGCCGAGAGCUGAUGACGAGUCGUCUUUUAGAUGACGAAGUGGUUGAUGCCAUGCUUCCAAGAAAAGCUUCUAAGCUUCAGGUAAUCAGGAACCGUACCCCAAACCGACACAGGUGGUCGGGUAGAGAAUACCAAGGCGCUUGAGAGAACUCGGGUGAAGGAACUAGGCAAAAUGGCACCGUAACUUCGGGAGAAGGUGCGCCGGCUAGGGUGAAGGAUUUACUCCGUAAGCUCUGGCUGGUCGAAGAUACCAGGCCGCUGCGACUGUUUAUUAAAAACACAGCACUCUGCAAACACGAAAGUGGACGUAUAGGGUGUGACGCCUGCCCGGUGCCGGAAGGUUAAUUGAUGGGGUUAGCGCAAGCGAAGCUCUUGAUCGAAGCCCCGGUAAACGGCGGCCGUAACUAUAACGGUCCUAAGGUAGCGAAAUUCCUUGUCG
RNAcentral lists this ribosomal RNA (1933 nucleotides) under Pseudomonas aeruginosa CF614. RNAcentral describes it as "bacterial LSU rRNA". It matches the Rfam family "Bacterial large subunit ribosomal RNA", at positions 3 to 1974 of the family's 2925-position model. Lineage: Bacteria; Pseudomonadati; Pseudomonadota; Gammaproteobacteria; Pseudomonadales; Pseudomonadaceae. The record is from RNAcentral.